Molecule: long non-coding RNA, 404 nt
Organism: Drosophila montana
Lineage: Eukaryota; Metazoa; Arthropoda; Insecta; Diptera; Drosophilidae
Exons: 2
Source: RefSeq, a predicted model, not a curated record
CCAAUUGCACACACACACACACCAGUCAAAAGGUUAAUAGUCUGACAAAAAAAAACUAGAAUAAAUAAACAGGCAGACAGCACUAAGCCAAGGAAUAUAUUGAAAUGCCAAAUAUGUCUGGUGAAGUUAUGCAACGAGAAAUAACAAGAAUAACAACAACAUUUUUCUGCAAGUGCCGAGUGGGAAAAAGCAAUGCCAGAGCACACACAGAGACAAGUGGAGUUGCAGGCUGGACUGCGAGUCUUUUGGAGUGCAUUUGAGGCGGUGUGCGGGGCAUACAAUAAUCUUAUGUGUAAAUACAUAUGAAUUGUAAAUGGGGGCGUGGCACAUACAAUAUGUUACAUGCCACGGAAAAUGGCGCAUAAGUAAAGUGCAAGCUUAAAAGGCAAAUGGCAAAAGAUUUA